ACAUAGUACAUAUAUUCAAUAAAAUUAUUUAUAAAUAUUAAAAAAAUAAAUAUUUUUUCAUUAUGAAAAAUUAAAAACAAAAUGGCAUGUGACAUGUGCUUUACUUGAACAAGAGCAUCAGAUUAAUGAUGCAUCAGAUGACUUCAUGAUCUGAAGAGCAUCGGACCUAAUCCUUUUUUUUUUCCCUUGAAGGGAAUCGGACCAUCAUUGAUGGUCCAAUGGUCAUCGGACCCAAUUCUUUGUCGAGGGAAUGAAGUCGUGGAUGGUGUAUGGCGCUGAGACGGCGUCAUGUGAAUGGACAAAUUCUUAGAUAUCAACACUUCCAUCCUUUCUGCCACACGUCAUCGCCACCAGCAGUGAACGAGCGGAGCUAGUGGGGCUCGUACAAAAGAGAACAUGAGAGGCUGUACGGAUGGAAGCUCCCCAGAGCAACUACUGUGGCUGCAUAGUGUCCUCUGAUCAACUCGAGAUGGGGUCCCCUGAUCAGCUCGAAAAGAGCAGCAGCGGCAGCAAUAAUAAAAUAUAUGAUCAUGGAAG
This 537-nucleotide long non-coding RNA is filed under the name Elaeis guineensis (African oil palm). RNAcentral describes it as "long non-coding RNA (EGUI_LNC078456)". The record is from RNAcentral. Lineage: Eukaryota; Viridiplantae; Streptophyta; Magnoliopsida; Arecales; Arecaceae.